Procambarus clarkii (red swamp crayfish) is the source of this 255-nucleotide non-coding RNA. The record is from RefSeq and is a predicted model, not a curated record. NCBI's taxonomy places the organism in Eukaryota, Metazoa, Arthropoda, Malacostraca, Decapoda, Cambaridae.
AGGCAAAAGAAGCUGCAGAGUUAAUAAGAUAGGAGUUAGCUGACUUAUCUCUUGGUGAAAAACAACUUCUCAUCUGGAUUGCAGAGUUAACCAACUUAGCCCAGAGUUUAAAUAAAAGAUCAGUUUCUCAAAAUGAUGUUCAAAAGGGGAUAGAGUUAGUAUGUGACUCAAUUAGAACCAAGAAAUCCCACAUAUCCAGUGUAGCAGUUUCAAGCAAAAUGAGAUCACGAUACCGUGCAAAGAUUGAAGCAGACA